CUCACCCAGGAUCACCAAGGUCUCUCCUACCCCGGGGCCUGUGCACCUGCUGUGCCUCUGCUUGGGGUGCUCUUCCCAGGGCUUGCCCACCUCCUCAGAGAGGCCUCCUGACCCCUGACACGGCCUUGCCCUUCACCUCUAUCGUCCUUUAGAACAGCCCCCACCUCCCGCACAUCAUGCAGUUGCAGGUUCAAUGGCUACUGCUUGUCCUCCAGACUCGAUAGGCCUCAUCACUCCUCAGAUGAUUCUCGAAGGAUAACACACAGGCCAGUGGGCAGCCCUAGGCCAGGGGGAUUACCAAGACAUGAAGACUUUCUUUCUGUCUCAGCAACCUUCAUGCUUGGUCAAGCAAAGGUGUUGCUUAAGUCAAACCCAGGGCAGGGGAGAGCAGUUGAAGCAAAGUGAGUCUUUGGAGGCCCUGUGGUUGUGGGGUCUGGUGUGGAGACAGUGAGAACGGAAAAGGUGGGAGAGGAGCAGUCAACCCGUGAAUGGCCCCAUUCAGACGCCUUUACCUGGAAGACGUGGCAGGUCUACUGGGGUUCAUCCCAUCUGAGCCAGGCCUGGCUUUUCUUGGCUGCAAGCUGAGAGCUGGGUCCAGGUCUGCUGAACCAAGGUUCUCCCAUCUUCCUUGAGCCAGUGACAAUCAGAGGCCUAUUUCUUUCAUGACGGAAGGCAGGAGAACAAGCAGCUCCCGGCUCACCCACCCAGCAGCUCAGCACCUGCGAAAUCCGUCUCCCGAUGCACACUUGCUAACCGCGUGGGUGUGAGCACAACGAUGGGAAACAGCGGAAGUCCCCGGAGUGCAGACUCAGGAGUGAACCUGCCUGAAGAGUGGCGUCUAACGCACACACUGUGGUCAGCUCCACCCCACUAUGGGUCCCGGGAAUAGGAGCAAGUAUGUAUUUUGCUUGCAGGGCAGGUGUUUCAUCCACAUUAUUGCAGGAACAGAUGAAUUUAAUUAAAAGAACACCACAGUGGGCACCUCUUCCAGGGAUGUCUCCCUCUAAGAACAUGACACUGAGAUGAUCAAGGUUCUAAAAGGGCGAUCAAAUUACUCUCCGAAAAUGAAACUGCUCAGACAGAAUGACAAUUAAAUUAAUAACAACCAAGACAAUGCCCAGAUUUCAUCUCCGCUCACAGCCCCUCCUGUGUGCUGUAUGAUCAGGUUCUUGGGGUGGCUCCAGAUACAGCAAACAGUCAGGAUUAAUCCACAAGAGUGAGCUGUCAGCAUGAGGUUCCCCUACAGUGGAGCUUGCCAAGGUCCGUGCCUCCCAGGGCACCCGUUCCAGGGCUAACAGAUGAAGCAUGGAAAUGCUGUGUGGAGUGAGCUAAGCAGCCGUUCUCAGGAGAAAACAGACAAAUCCUCCUGCAUCCUGGCAAACCAGCUUUGUGGCCUGUUUUAUGUCAUCUUUGCUGAGCUCCACCGGGUCACCCCUCCUGUUGGCUUUGUGAUACUGACAUUUCAGGCACUGGCACAGAUACAUUGGCCUUCCUGGCUGGGAUUUCACGGACGGAGUGAGCAGUGCUGGCUUGGAGGAGCCGUGGCGGCACAGGGCCUGUGCUCUCAGCUGAUCAACGCCUUGAUAGCCAGGAAAGGCCUGUCCUACCCCAAAGGGCCCUCGCAGCACUGUUUGAAAUUGCUCUUGCCAUCUUUGGAAUGGAUUCCUCAGUACAUUUCAGACUCGUUGUUGUGACUUUGGUUUUAAUCCAGGGACACACCGUGGCCAGUGGAGUGUCUCAACAGCAUCUAUGAUCGCUGUUUCCCAGAGACAGCAUCUCAGAUACCGAUGCUGAAAGAGAAACAGCAGCCUGUCCCCAAGUGGCAGGAAAUAGUCCAUUUUAAUGGCAAUUUCAUAAGUGGCAGAUGAUUUUUAUUGUAAUUUUCUGGUGAGCUGAUUAAGUGGAGGCAGAGUCAGUUCUGAGGCGUCAAUGUCUUUAACAAUUCGGGGAGACGGAGGCCACGCUCAGCAGGAACACUGAGUCCAUGGAAAACAGGCCCUGGGCCCGCUGAUGUGCAUAAUUCCACGUUUGCCCCUCAUGUAACCAGGAUGGUAAAUUACAGGUGUCAGAUAAUCACGCUCUGGAGUGGCUACUUGAGGAUGCGAUCGACCAAUUUAAGCUCCGUCUGACACAUGAUCAAUAGCCCGUGAUGCUGCAUGGAAUUGCAGGCACAGUGUCCAAACCUGCAGAGCAGUGGCUCCCAGCUGGGGCAACUUUGCCCCCCAGAGGACAUUUGGCAAUGUCUGGAUAUGUUUGCAAUUGUCACAACUAGGAAAGGAGGUACCCAUAGGAUACACAGGAAAGUCCUCACACAGUUGUAUCCUGCCCAGACUGUCCGUAGAGCCAGGGUGAGAUGCUCUGACAGAGCCACAGUGAACAUUGCAUUCCAUCAUCUGGGUAUCUCCAGGAAUGUAUGUAGCUGGAUGUCUGGCUUUUCAUCUGGGUUUCACGAGCCUCCUGCAGAACUGAAACCAUGUGCAAAUCAGUUCUCAUACUUGCUCUCCUGCCUCCUUCCUAUUGUAAUUUUUUCUUCCCACCUUUUUUAUUGUUACUAGAGAAAUGAUGAAGAAAAAGAAUAGGCUGGAGAGUCACUCAAAAUUUUGUUUUCCUCAAUUAAAAAGAAGUAAUUUAGAAGUUACUCAAUGAUGUUUUCUUUAAUUAAAAAAAAAAGUAGUUUGGGAAAGCAGAAAAUUAAUGAAGACAGAAAACACAGGUUUCAUGAAAAAGUUCAGCAUCCCAGGAAAGGAGCAAAGAGAAGUCUGCAGAUGAGAGUUGCUCAGUGUCAGGACUCAGAAAACAAUACCCCAAGAUAAUGUUCAAACCUGAGUGCUUUGAACAAAGGAUAUUGAAAGACCUCAGAAGAGGGCCUCAGAACUCACAUGUCUCUCUGACCUUCUCCUGUCUCUCCUUCACUUCCAAAGCAUGAUCUUUGGCCAGGGGAUCUCUCUGGGAUUCCCUUAUCUGCCUGAGGGAUGUACUUCCAAAAGAAAUGUGACUGGCAUGACCUCCUCCCUAGGAAUCUCUUCAAACAGCCGGGAAAGACUGGUCACCUGAGAGGAGAUUGGAAGUCCUCACUGCACUCAGAAAGGCUGUUGUCCAUUCUUCUAGAGACUUUAUCUGAAUAACAAGGCAACUUUUGUUUACCAUUCAGUUCCUCCCCUUUCCUUUCUAACUUGUCACCACCUCCCCCAAAAGCCUCAAGCCUCCACUCCUACAAGCUAUAAAGACUUCAAC
RNAcentral lists this long non-coding RNA (3234 nucleotides) under Homo sapiens (human). RNAcentral's name for it is "non-protein coding LINC00494:3". Lineage: Eukaryota; Metazoa; Chordata; Mammalia; Primates; Hominidae. The record is from RNAcentral.